RNAcentral lists this ribosomal RNA (394 nucleotides) under uncultured bacterium. RNAcentral describes it as "partial 16S ribosomal RNA". It matches the Rfam family "Bacterial small subunit ribosomal RNA", at positions 523 to 916 of the family's 1533-position model. The record is from RNAcentral.
AUACGUAGGGAGCGAGCGUUGUCCGGAAUUACUGGGUGUAAAGGGUGCGUAGGCGGGACUGCAAGUCAGAUGUGAAAUGCCGGGGCUCAACCCCGGAGCUGCAUUUGAAACUGUGGUUCUUGAGUGAGGUAGAGGUAAGCGGAAUUCCUAGUGUAGCGGUGAAAUGCGUAGAUAUUAGGAGGAACAUCGGUGGCGAAGGCGGCUUACUGGGUCUUUACUGACGCUGAGGCACGAAAGCGUGGGGAGCAAACAGGAUUAGAUACCCUGGUAGUCCACGCUGUAAACGAUGAUGACUAGGUGUGAGGGGACUGAACCCUUCCGUGCCGCAGUUAACACAAUAAGUCAUCCACCUGGGGAGUACGGCCGCAAGGUUGAAACUCAAAUGAAUUGGCGG